ACCACCUGGGGAUCUGCUAAAAUGCAGAUUCUGAUUCAGUAGGUCUGGAGCUGAUGGAGAUUCUGCAUUUCUAACAAGCUCCCAGGUAUUGCUCA
Papio anubis (olive baboon) is the source of this 95-nucleotide non-coding RNA. Lineage: Eukaryota; Metazoa; Chordata; Mammalia; Primates; Cercopithecidae. The record is from Rfam.